Molecule: transfer RNA, 125 nt
Filed under: Coniochaeta pulveracea
Lineage: Eukaryota; Fungi; Ascomycota; Sordariomycetes; Coniochaetales; Coniochaetaceae
Rfam family: tRNA
About the family: Transfer RNA (tRNA) molecules are approximately 80 nucleotides in length. Their secondary structure includes four short double-helical elements and three loops (D, anti-codon, and T loops).
Source: Rfam by way of RNAcentral
GCCCGAGUAAUCUAGUAGUUUAAGACGUUGGCGUGUUAACUAGCGGACUAGUCACCUACGAGGGAGGGUGGGCGAUUAGGCAGUUGGGCAAACCUUCAACCCGGGUUCAAAUCCCGGCUUAGGCA